UACGUAGGGUGCAAGCGUUGUCCGGAAUUAUUGGGCGUAAAGAGCUCGUAGGCGGUCUGUCACGUCGGCUGUGAAAACCCACGGCUCAACCGUGGGCUUGCAGUCGAUACGGGCAGGCUAGAGUUCGGUAGGGGAGACUGGAAUUCCUGGUGUAGCGGUGAAAUGCGCAGAUAUCAGGAGGAACACCGGUGGUGUAGACGGCUUUCUGGACCGUAACUGACGCUGAGACACGAAAGCGUGGGUAGCAAACAGG
This 253-nucleotide ribosomal RNA is filed under the name uncultured bacterium. Its description in RNAcentral is "partial 16S ribosomal RNA". It matches the Rfam family "Bacterial small subunit ribosomal RNA", at positions 524 to 776 of the family's 1533-position model. The record is from RNAcentral.